AGGAUGAAUGCUCUUGCACAUUGGGUCA
RNAcentral lists this non-coding RNA (28 nucleotides) under Homo sapiens (human). Lineage: Eukaryota; Metazoa; Chordata; Mammalia; Primates; Hominidae. The record is from RNAcentral.